Molecule: long non-coding RNA, 2621 nt
Organism: Sphaerodactylus townsendi
Lineage: Eukaryota; Metazoa; Chordata; Lepidosauria; Squamata; Sphaerodactylidae
Exons: 2
Source: RefSeq, a predicted model, not a curated record
CCUCACAGGGUGUUUGUUGUGAGGGGGGAAGGGCAAGGAGAUUGUCAGCCCCUUUGAAUCUCCUGCAAGAGAGAAAGGGGGGAUAUAAAUCCAAACUCUUCUUCUUCUUCUUCUUCUUCAUUAUCUGCCCCAGGUUUGCUACACCAGAGGAGGUGACAGAGAAGCAGGACAUGACGUUCCCAGCCUGGAGAAAGGCAGAGUCCCCCCGCAAGGGCUGAUCAGGGUCUCACGCCUCUCGACUCACCCAUUGGGGCCAGCCAAAGGGCAGCGCGGCCUUCGCUGAGUGGGGGCAGGAACAACCUUGGCUCUUAGUAAGCUGCAGGGUCUGGGGGUAAUGUUGGAGAUGCCAGAGGUUUUCCAGAUGGUCCCAGCUGCCUCCCCCCACCCCUUAAAUGGCAGGGCAAGGGCUGAAGUCUGUUCUCAGCCAGACUGUUUUUGACACUAGCAGGGGUAGCUUUUUGGCAUGGCCAGCAGUGUGCGUGUGCUCCGCGAGAGCUUUUUUGCGAGAGCCCCCCGUCCAGCAGCCGCCUCUUACUCGCCUGUUAGAUGCAGCUCCCAAGGCUGUCCUUGGUCUUUAUAUCAGUACGCUGUUCCAGGCUGUAUUUGGAGACACUAGUAGUUAGUUUACAAUUUGGGCGUCUUCGCCUCCUGCAGCACGUAAUCCUUGUGGUUCCCUUUCGGUGCUGCUGUGGUGGCUGCCAAAGGCAUCCCUCCCACAGGGACCAGGCCAGCACCACAGAUGCCUUUGCCGUGUGGCUCCCUGUGCUGCGGAGUGCAUGGAAGUCAGCAGGCCGGUUGGUGUUAACACAACUGCUGACAUGACAGCAACAGCCACGAGCCAGUUCAGGCAAGCACAGGCUGCUUCUAUGUGGCAGGGAUGCUCUGCGUGGCUUUUGUUGCCCUCUGGGGACGCAGAGGCGUUUGCCACAGCAACGGAGUGUCCAGGCAGAGAUUUCACGCCUGCUAACCUCACCUCGACUUUCCUCGGCCGUCGGGCAGCACCAGAAAGCUGCUUUGGGCGUUUUGGACGUAUCCGCAACUGAUGUACUCUUUGGCAUCGUAACGUUCUAUUGGCUUCUCUGAAUUCUGAGCAUUUUUUAAAAGUCUUCCUCUUCUUUCGUUGCAGAGAUAGAAGGGAAUAGGCAUGUCUCCAUGACUUCCUUAAAGAUUGGAAGCAGUGUAUUUUAGGGAACUUUUGGGUGUGGAAUAAUCUAAUAAAGCCAGAAGUGAAGCAAGGUCGGUACUUGGAUGGGAGACCACCAAGGAAGACUCUGCAGAAGAAGGCAAUGACAAACCACCUCUGCUGCUGCUCACUUGCCUUGAAAACCCCUUGCUGGGGCCACCAUACGCCAGUUGUGACUUGUCAGCCCUUUACAAACACAUUCAGAGGAACUAGUAGAUUGUCACCCUACUAAAGAUGUCAGUUGCUGACUAUUUUUUAAAAAAACAAGGGGCCUCCAGCGGCCGGUGAGAAGGGGGCGGGGGGUUGAAGAAGGGAAAUGGUGCGGAUGCUGAGGAAACCUGCAAAAAUUAUCUUCCCAGCAAGAUUAUGCCAGGGUUGAGAAAGGUGUCAGUGAGGCUAAGAGCACACUGAAAGUGGGGGGUUCAGGGAGGAUGCUGGGAAAACAACAACCCUGCUCUGUUUUGCUGGCCAAACGAGCAAAAUGUCCCUGUGGCAGCAGUUGAGAUGGGCUUUUAAAAAAUGCACAGGAAAGCAGACCUCGGCAAACAGUUGGCCCCACCACGCAAAUAGCACUUUUCCUGAAAGGUUAGUACUUCUGUGCCUAAGGGAGGCUUCCCAGCACAGAAAAAGUGUGUCUGGUCGCCUUAUCCCCGAACAGUAGGCAGUUGAGGAGAUGGAUAGAUGGAUGUGUGCCCUGGAGCAUUCCUGGUCAUUCCACCAGGGGUCUGGCAGCUUCCGAGGUGGGGCCUGCUUCCCUUGGGGCGGGGGGGGGGGGGGGGCAGGGAAAGCCUCGAGCUUAUUCUUGCUGGUGACCUCUUGAUUGCCUUUCAGCCGAUGUGCUGCUUAGUUUUCUUUGGUCCCUGACUGGCGUCGGUCUGUUCCGGGGGUCUCCUCUGCUUCUAGAACUAGUAGCUAGUUUACAGUUUGGGUAAAUGCAACUUCCCAGGCCCAAAGUGCCAAAGAUAAGAUUUCCUUGUAGGAUCUCUUAGAACAACUUGCACAGAAACCACUACAAAGCAAUUGUCUGUUCCACGCGUGUUCUGUGUGGGGGCACAUGUGAUAUCGUAUGAUAUUUGCUAUUCAGGCACAGUUAGUGAUGCUGCCACAUGCAAUCUCAAAUGUACAACCAACUUUAUUUUUGUAUUCUUUGUAAAUGCUAUUUAUACAAGAGUGACUCCCCACCUCUGCAGUUUUUAUUCUCAAGUCUUAAGAGUCUCCAGGUGACCAGUAUCCAGGUAAACCAAGCAAGGAUGCUUGGGCAAUUUUGGAAGGACCUGAAGCCGUAAGCCUUUGAGAGCUCUGUAUACGCUAGAGAUGCGUUAACCACCUCCACCUUCUGGGUUAUGUUGAUUAUAUAGUAUUGUACAUUACAAUGGCAAGAUGACCAAUGGCAAAGGUAGCCUUUGUGUGGUGUACAAUAAAGGUGUGGAUACCUUUA